This is a long non-coding RNA of Polistes canadensis, 1228 nucleotides long. RefSeq lists it as uncharacterized. The record is from RefSeq and is a predicted model, not a curated record. The transcript is spliced from 3 exons. NCBI's taxonomy places the organism in Eukaryota, Metazoa, Arthropoda, Insecta, Hymenoptera, Vespidae.
AAAGAUAAUAACGACGCUGUUUCACGAGCACCGCGACACAAUUGGUACGCAGGCUACCGAUAGACUGACGGGCCAUGAACGAGCGCAACGAGCGCAACGAACAACCAGAACCACCACCACCACCUUCAGCACCACCACCACCACCAACACCACCACCGCAGGGAUGAGGCGGCCUUACGAUGAGCUUUCUGGGUCGGAGGAGGUAGACGCGAGCGCAGGACUUUGUAUGGUAGAGGGUGAAAGGGCUAGACUAGGGGGUGUCACGCGGUAAAAUACGUCGAGAGGGGUCAACGGGGUGAGAGAGCGAUGAUAUGCAUCGCUAUACUCCAAACAUCAUGUUGACAGAUGCCUGACGUAUUUUCGAGCAAAAUAAGGUCCUAAUCAUUCUGUGGCUAUAUUUUGAAAGAACACGCGACAGGUGCACUUGAUAUGAAGGUUCAAGCUCUUCCGCAUGUUUCCAGAUAUGAUCGAUGAUUCUACGAAAAUUCAGCUGUUCGAUUUAUGACUUGGCGAAAUUUUGAUCCUUCCUCGUGGACAGGUGCAUUGACGUCGAUAGUUUCUGAAAAAAAUACCCCCACACGAGCAUACAAACGCAUACAAAUACACACACAAUUUAUUUGAUCGAUGAACACUGUUUAAUUUAAACGUUCUUUAAACGUUUAACAUUGUAUUGUAUAGAUUUUGAUUCAAAUGAUUUUUGUACGCGGAUAAUAUAUACAUCACAUAAGUAAGGUGUUUUGCUUUUUAUUCUGGCGCGUGUUUUAAAAAGAAAAACAAACAAGAAACAGAGUAGAAUCUUUGUAGCCACGAACAAACAACUGCUCGGUCGAUGCCAAAAGACUGUAGCGCUACCUUGUCGAAGAAGAUAUUUUUCAACGUUUGACCUUACCAUCAGUUACUACUUUCGAUCACAAAUUUUAUCCAUCAAUUUUAUGGUACGACCAUCCGACACACUUAACAUAAUUAUUUAAAAUCAAUCCACCAGACCGCGCGUUCAAUAUUUAAUACGGAUAAAAUUGAAAGACGUAAAAACCUAUCUAGGGAGAAAAACCUUGAGACUCGGAUUGGAAUACUUUCUUCUACGUUUCCGCAUUACAUUUUGUAUUUUUUUUCUUUUUAUGCACCAAUGCAAUCACGGAAUGUGCAUUAUGUAAAAACAUAAUAAGUAGUAUAUUCUAUAAAUAAGAAUUCUCGAUUAAUUAAAAAAUUAACAACGUCAAAUUUUAUG